RNAcentral lists this small RNA (1339 nucleotides) under Pan troglodytes (chimpanzee). RNAcentral describes it as "retained intron". The record is from RNAcentral. Lineage: Eukaryota; Metazoa; Chordata; Mammalia; Primates; Hominidae.
AGGUGUGAGCCACCGCGCCUGUCCAGGAAUCAGUUUUUUCCAACAAGUUUUUGGACUCCACUUUGAGAAAUCCUGACCUGCACUAUGCCUGAAACACUCCAAAGGGGGUGCUGAUCUGGAGACAGAUCUGUCCUGGGACCUGUUUCAGCCCUCUCAGCUCCUGGUGGCUGAGUUGAAGGGUGUGGCCCAGAAGGCAGGGCAGAGCUAGCUUCUGGGUUCCUUCAGCCCCUGCAGGUUUGGGACUCUGUCCACAGGUCCAGACCCAGUACUUAUUAUGAACUGUUGGGGGUGCAUCCUGGUGCCAGCACUGAGGAAGUUAAACGAGCUUUCUUCUCCAAGUCCAAAGAGGUACCAGUACCCCUGAGGUGGGGAGGGGGGGCAGGAACUCUGAGCCAGUGGGGGUGUGCUUCAAAUUCCCAGGAGUAGACCAGCAUCUCUGGCGGGUGCCACAUUUUUUCAGCCCUCAUAGGGAGUGGCAGGUGCUCAAUGGUAGGGGAAAGGCUGUGGGCAGGAGCCAGGGGUCCUGUCUGAUGGGCUGGGCUUGGUUUUCUUGACCUGCCUGCCUGCUCUUGAGAAACCUGGACCGGGGCAUAUGGUGAAUGCAGGGGGCUGGCAGGUGGGGAGGGCUUGAACACAGGAGGAAGCAGGAGUCCAUGCUCUCUGGCCUUCUGAGGAGUGGGCAGGCCUGAGUGAGGGUCACUGACCAGGCAGGGCCUCUGGGUAUGACUGGAGCCCUGGUGGGUGGAUGUCAUCAGCAUGGGUCCUGGGGAGGGACAGGCAAAGGGAGAUAAGGGGAGUCCUGCCCCACCCCAGCUGCACCCGGACCGGGACCCUGGGAACCCAAGCCUGCACAGCCGCUUUGUGGAGCUGAGCGAGGCAUACCGUGUGCUCAGCCGUGAGCAGAGCCGCCGCAGCUAUGAUGACCAGCUCCGCUCAGGUAGUCCCCCAAAGUCUCCACGAACCACAGCCCAUGACAAGUCUGCCCACCAAACACACAGCUCCUGGACACCCCCCAACGCACAGUACUGGUCCCAGUUUCACAGCGUGAGGCCACAGGGGCCCCAGUUGAGGCAGCAGCAACACAAACAAAACAAACAAGUGCUGGGGUACUGCCUCCUCCUCAUGCUGGCGGGCAUGGGCCUGCACUACAUUGCCUUCAGGUGAUGCCUGUUCUCCCCGGGGCGAUGGGCAGAGGGCAGGAGGAUGGGUGAAUUCCAGUGUGGUCAGCCAGUCCUCCACAGCACCUCGUGGCCCGUACUCUUGUGUCUCUCAAGCUAAGAGCUGCUUGAAAUUGGUCUCUGGAGCCUCUCCUUACUUAUUAAAGGCAGCGCUGCACCAA